This is a long non-coding RNA of Nyctereutes procyonoides (raccoon dog), 1085 nucleotides long. RefSeq lists it as uncharacterized. The transcript is spliced from 4 exons. Lineage: Eukaryota; Metazoa; Chordata; Mammalia; Carnivora; Canidae. The record is from RefSeq and is a predicted model, not a curated record.
CUCCAGCCCCCGCCAGCGUAUCUCCAGGCUGUGCAAGUCGGGUCUGUUGUGCCCAGGGGUGUCCCUCACUUGCGAGCUUUCUUCCCGGGACCUCCCUAGGAGCCGCGCCCCCUGAAGUCCAGAACCUCGUAGGCAGGUACCAUGACCUAUAAGACCUGCAGGGGCUCUGGAGGAGCCAUGAUUCGUGCAGAAACCCUGGUGUAGUAGUAGGGGGUGGGGGAGACUGUGGCAAAGUUAGGGGGCAUGUGCCCCUUGUAUUCACAAAUGUAGCUUUGCAAGAUGACAGUGCGCAGAAAUUCUCCGGAUCCUCAGACCUGUAUCUUCCCGCUAGCUAUGCUCACAGUCGGUAAACACAGGUGUCCUCCACUUUUUGAAAGUUUGCAUCACACCCCUUUGCUGUUACUAGAGACCUGCAUUACUACCCAUUAUUGCUAACAGAGAAAUCUGAAGCGGAUUUUCACUUUUAUGUAAAAAGGUGAACAGUGAAAAUACAGUGUUCAGCGUUCAUUUUGCAGUGAGCCGUUACGGAGGGGUGCGUACCCUCAGCAGAGAGUGGCCCUGCGCGCUCCUUCCCCAAGAACCAUACUCGGCAUCUCAGCGUCAAGCCACCAGAGCUCUGAACUGUGUCUGUGGACGUCUGUGUUUUGUCUCAAUUUAUUUCGUGCAUCUGUUAGCAAGAUGUGUCCUAAGGUUGGAGAUUUCUACUGUUCUCUCUUCCAGUUCACCAGUUCUCCCCUUUCCUGUUCUGCUGUGGAGCCACCCGCUGUGUCCACCAGAUCCUUUCCUUCCUGUGCGUGGUUCAGACUCCUCCAAGUGUGCUGCCCUCAAAGGAGGCUCUUCAAAGGUCUGUAUGCUCCUUGAUGCAGCCUGAACUCCAGUUACUCCACAGCCUAGUGACAGUGCCUGAAGCUCUGCUUGGCUUCUCAGACUCUUGGCUUUUAUUGUCUCCAUGGCCUGUCAGCCCAUGGGCUGCUGUUGGCACAUAAGCAAUCACUUUGAAGAGAUAAGUGAUGAAGAGUGUCGGGGUCACUUCUGUGCAUUCUUCUUGUCUCUCAAGGUCCUCACGCUUUGGCUAAAUAAGUACC